CUGCAACGGAGACACUCCUAUUGGUCCCUGGUUCGCUUUUCGCUCAACCGCGAUUGGUUAGGCUGACUUCUGUGUACCGCAGACUCAGCGACUGGCUGACGUCAGGUGGGAGAAGACGCGGAAGUCAGUGGCUCUCACUGACGGGCGGAAGAGUGUGGUUUUCCGGAGACUCGGCGUUCUCAACUGCCCACGCAGGCGGUGGGCCCUCUUCAGCUUUCCGGACGUGACACUGGUGCAAGCCCCAUAUACUCAUCUCGGAUGAGGUGAUCCGAGAUGAUCCCAGAUCAAGGCUGGCAGCCGCCCUUCUCUCAGUCCUCCAACCCCCUGUCCUGUGAGUGCCCGUUCCAUCCUGCCUUGUCUCUGCCUGGCCGACCACACCUCGCUGGCUGAGACCCCUUCCUCGUUUACAAGAGGUGCACAUCUCUUGCAUCCUUGCCGGCUGAGGCCCCCUUGCUGUCAAAAUAGCAGCUUUGACGUUCCAACUGAUCUGAAUUAUCAUCCCCACAUGGCGAUAACUUUUUCAGGUUGCUGAACAAAGGGGCAGAGCCAGGUCUCUUUCUGGAGAUGGAGCUGUAACUGCUGUGACCAAGGGCACACGGCUGCUCCUCUGUGAAUCUGAGAAAAUGUGAAGAAAGACAGAUUCUUCCUCACAAAGCAGCUACGGAGAUUCAGUGUGAAGUAGUAGAGAGAAACUGAGCCUGGAGCUGGGAGGGUAGUGACUGCUGGGAACCUGGGGACUGGGGAAUUCGUCCUUAGAAGGGAAUAAUAUGCAGCUGGGGAGAAAAAAAAAUAUAGAGAGACAUCUCCAGAGUGUCUAUAUAUUUCAUAAGAAAGGAGAGGAAUAAAAAGUAUGUAUUGUGUUUGGAGGAGGUUGUCAGGUGGACGUGAGCACUGGCUGACUUUCGACCUGGACCCGGACAAGUAGAGGCUGCUCACCCCUGCCCUGUCCUUGU
This is a long non-coding RNA of Phyllostomus discolor (pale spear-nosed bat), 953 nucleotides long. RefSeq lists it as uncharacterized. The record is from RefSeq and is a predicted model, not a curated record. The transcript is spliced from 2 exons. Lineage: Eukaryota; Metazoa; Chordata; Mammalia; Chiroptera; Phyllostomidae.